Molecule: ribosomal RNA, 252 nt
Filed under: uncultured bacterium
Lineage: Bacteria
Description: partial 16S ribosomal RNA
Rfam family: Bacterial small subunit ribosomal RNA
Source: RNAcentral
UACGUAGGUGGCGAGCGUUGUCCGGAAUUACUGGGUGUAAGGGAGCGCAGGCGGGGGUACAAGUUGGAUGUGAAAUACCGCAGCUCAACUGCGGGGCUGCAUCCAAAACUGUAUCUCUUGAGUGGAGUAGAGGCAGGCGGAAUUCCUAGUGUAGCGGUGAAAUGCGUAGAUAUUAGGAGGAACACCAGUGGCGAAGGCGGCCUGCUGGGCUUUAACUGACGCUGAGGCUCGAAAGCGUGGGGAGCAAACAGG